RNAcentral lists this ribosomal RNA (253 nucleotides) under uncultured bacterium. RNAcentral's name for it is "partial 16S ribosomal RNA". It matches the Rfam family "Bacterial small subunit ribosomal RNA", at positions 524 to 776 of the family's 1533-position model. The record is from RNAcentral.
UACAGGGGUCUCAACCGUUGUUCGGAUUCAUUGGGCGUAAAGGGUGCGUAGGCGGUCGCGCAAGUCGGAUGUGAAAUCUCGGGGCUCAACCCCGAAACUGCAUUCGAUACUGCGUGGCUAGAGUGCUGGAGGGGAGACUGGAAUUUACGGUGUAGCAGUGAAAUGCGUAGAUAUCGUAAGGAAGACCAGUGGCGAAGGCGAGUCUCUGGACAGCAACUGACGCUGAGGCACGAAGGCCAGGGGAGCAAACGGG